CGACUUCUCGCCCUCGACUUCUCGCUCCCUCGUGUUCUCGCCUUUGAAAAACCUCGACUUCUCGCUCCCUCGCUCCCUCGCCUUUGGGUCAAUCUCGUCCUCUCGUGUUCUCGCUCCCUCGCUUCGUCACAAUCUCGACUUCUCGUCCUCUCGUGUUCUCGCCUCGGAAGUGCAGUUUAUAACGCAUGUCCACUGACUACCGUAUCGGCAUUUGUAUUCAGUCUGGUAUUUUCAUUCAAAGUCAAAGCCGAUGGAAGCUCUAGCGAUCAACAAAAUUCUCAAUGAUUUGGGCUUAAUCCAUCUCUUAGAUGUAUUUACUGACAAUUCCGUUGGCCCUCCAGAAGUUCUAACAUUAACCGAUUCAGAAUUUAAUUUCCUUGGUGUGAGUGCUAUUGGGGACCGUGCUAGGUUGAGACAGAGAUGUAGAACAUAUUUGAAUGGUCAGUGUGAAUCGCCAUCUUUAAAGAAAUUCAAAGAGCUAUCAGAAAAGAAAAAAACACAGAAUAACAACAAGUUCAAGUCCAAUGGUAGAUUAUAUACUGGGUGGAAGUUAUCUACAGGACAGAGUUUUAAACUAGUU
This is a long non-coding RNA of Patella vulgata (common limpet), 580 nucleotides long. RefSeq lists it as uncharacterized. NCBI's taxonomy places the organism in Eukaryota, Metazoa, Mollusca, Gastropoda, Patellidae. The record is from RefSeq and is a predicted model, not a curated record. The transcript is spliced from 3 exons.